RNA transcript from Drosophila montana, 1708 nucleotides. It is a transcript of the gene named SR family splicing factor SC35, with no coding region annotated. The transcript has 5 exons. The record is from RefSeq and is a predicted model, not a curated record. Lineage: Eukaryota; Metazoa; Arthropoda; Insecta; Diptera; Drosophilidae.
AAUCAUUCAGUAAAAAGAGCUGAGCAAAGCAGGCACAGCUGGACAAAAGGCAGCAGCGAAAAGGGCAGUAAAUUUUCCAAAAAAAAAGUAUUUGAAUUUACAAAACAAUUAGCGAAAUAAUGAGCACAGGUGGCACCGGAGGCGGUGCUGGGGGCGGUGCACGUCCACCACCCCGAAUCGAUGGCAUGGUCUCGCUAAAGGUCGACAAUCUCACAUAUCGCACCACGCCCGAGGAUUUGCGUCGCGUCUUCGAGCGCUGCGGCGAAGUUGGGGACAUUUACAUACCACGCGAUCGUUACACACGUGAAAGUCGCGGAUUUGCUUUCGUGCGUUUCUAUGACAAGCGCGAUGCCGAGGACGCACUGGAGGCCAUGGAUGGUCGCAUGCUGGACGGCAGGGAGCUGCGUGUGCAGAUGGCGCGCUACGGCCGUCCCUCGUCGCCGACGCGCCGCAACAGCAGCAGCAGUCGCCGGGGCGCCGGCCUCGGCGCUGGCGCCGGCGGCGGUGCCGGAGGGGGGGGACGUCGACGCUCGCGCUCCCGCUCGCCGAUGCGUCGCCGUUCGCGCAGUCCGCGCCGUCGCUCCUAUUCGCCGCGCUCGCGUUCCCGCUCCGCGGGCAGCCGUUCGCCCGGCGGCCGGCGCGGCAAAUUCUCGCGCAGUCCGCCCGUGCGCGGCGACAGUCGCAACGGCGUCGCCAGCGCCGCCUUGGCCGGCGCAUCACGCAGUCGCAGUCGUUCCUAAAGACGCCGGCUCGCUUCAGACGUUCCAUACUCGUAGGUGCGAUAAGCCUUGAUUGACUCGUUGACAAGGGUUUCCGGGCAAGUGCUCAACCGGGCAACUGAAACAACUUCUCAUGCUGUGUACCAGAACAGCAGGCAAGUGUGCGCGGCGUUUGUUGCAGUCGUUGCUGCCGUGUGGCUGUUAAUGUAAAUGUUAUGUUAUGGCCGGCGAGUCGUGCGUGGGCAAGGCAGAGUCGGUGAGCGAGAGAGAGAGAAAGAGAGAGAAAGAGAGCGCGGAAGCAAAGCAGCGUGUGAGCUUUCUUUAUUUUUACUUCUUUACAAACUCACUGAGAGAGCGGCGCCAAAGCAGGCACAACGAGAGCGGAGAGCUGAACGUCGCGUCGCUGAUGCUGCUGUUGCUGCUACUGUUGCUGUUAACUGCAAAACUUCGCUGCGCUGCUGAUGCUGCUGCUGCUGCUGCUACUUCGAUCUUCCCCACACACACGCGCGCCCACACGCGCACACACACAUUGUUGCUGCUGUUGAAGCUGUAGUUCGUGGCUCGACGUCUGCGUCUGCCGAAAUGCUGCUGUUGCUGCUCUGCUGCAGAUGCUGGCGUCCUUGUCUGCCUCAACUGUUUCGCUGUUUAGUUUGCCGUUGGCGUUUCGCUGCUUCACUUCUUGUUCGGUUCGCACUUGUUGCUGUUGCCUGCCGGCGUUGUUGGUGUUUCCUGCUGUUUCCUGUCUAGCGAUUGGGGCCUACUUUUGACUUUAGCGAAAUUUGUAGCUGAUACGCGGACCGCGCGAAUGACCCCCGCCACCCCGGAACAGCCCCAUGCAACGGUGUGCGGAGACUUGUGAACGUCCAGUUGGAAUGCAACAGGUAAGUUUUGCAUUAACAUGUGCAGCUAACAUUUGCAUUCUAUUACAGCCAAAUGCCAAUUAAAUGAUAUAUAAGAUGAAUUAUGCAAAUUAAAUAAAACUUUUCAAU